UGGCAAGAGUCGGGGAGACGAAUGGGUUGUGAGUCGUGACAGUACGUUUUUUCACAAAUCGCCCAGAGUUCGCCGAAGCCGCCUAGCCCACUUAGGCUGCCGCCUUACCCCGCGUAAUAUCUUUGUCGAUUUUAUAAGCGAUUUUGAGUUAAUCGCGGUGGAGCACCACAGCCUAACGCCUAGGUGGCCGCCUAAACCCUUUUUAAGAACAAUGAUUAUAAUUAAAUGUUACCAUCACUCUUUGUUUACGUUCAUUUCGACUAAAACCCUAAUAACUCUUAUAAAGAAAAAAAAAAUUUCUAUUGAUUUCUAACACCCUAAUUCCAGCAGGGAUGGAGGAGUUGGAUGAACCACAUCUCACUCUCAAACCAUUCGAAACAACAUAUAAAGUACAAGAAAAAGCCUUGAAGAUGUACCUAAGUUACAUGUCACAUCUUUUAUUGGCUCAACCACCUUCUAUAAUCAUGGUCAGGUGAUGUGCUCAGGACUCAAAUCUCCAAGGAGUCCCUUUAAAAUAAAAGGUCCUGCAUGAAAACUAGGAGAGAAUUUAUAGCCAACACGAAUUAAAGUUCAGCACUCUGUCCGACAUUACUUGCCAUUAACACUCUAUGGCUUUGUGAAUUUUUUCCUCCUCUUUCUCGCCUCAGCGCAAUUGCAUCUGCGAGAGGGUACAAAGGACCUAGAAAAUUUUUUACUUUCGAAUUUCUUUGAAAACAAAACGACUUUUAGUUUGAAAUUUUGUUUUUUUAUAAAUAGGUGUAAAGAGAAUGUAACAUUUUGAAUUGGGUAUGGAGGGUAGUUUAAGUAAUAAUUUUGGGUUUAAAGAGAGAUUAAUUCUUUAAUUAAAAAUAAUAUUGGUGAGAGAGGUUAAGUGUAGAAAGAGAUUACAAGGGUUUAAAUAAAAUUUCCCUUUUAUUUUAACAUUUGGCUUAAUCUUAAUAACCUAGAUUUCAUUAUUUUAUUUGACUAACUAUUUAGCCUUGAUUUAUUUGAUUGCAUGUUCUUUAAGUUUCUAUUAAGCAGGGCGUUUUGGGAGUUUUAUAAAAUUAAAUUAGUGUCAGUUACAAAAGGGGCUUCUCGCUUUUAUUAUACUAGCAUUUUUGCACGUAUUUGCGCGACACACGACGUUGAAGGUUCUAUUUUAAUUG
This 1148-nucleotide long non-coding RNA is filed under the name Malus domestica (apple). RNAcentral's name for it is "long non-coding RNA (MDOM_LNC016635)". Lineage: Eukaryota; Viridiplantae; Streptophyta; Magnoliopsida; Rosales; Rosaceae. The record is from RNAcentral.